RNAcentral lists this long non-coding RNA (1823 nucleotides) under Oryctolagus cuniculus (rabbit). RNAcentral's name for it is "lncRNA (ENSOCUG00000038462.1)". The record is from RNAcentral. Lineage: Eukaryota; Metazoa; Chordata; Mammalia; Lagomorpha; Leporidae.
UCCCAUCUGCUGCAGCCCAGAGCCAGCCAGCCAGCGCUCCGACAAAAAUAGCUCCGGUUGCAUUUCAGGCUCUUGACCAGAGGAAUGCAGAUCAGCCACGCUUCUUGUCGUGAGUCGGGGUGCUCGGGCAGCCUCUCCGGCUGAGUGGGCACAGAGGAGUAGCCGGGUGCUUGCACCAGGGGGCCGCCCAGGGGGCCACAGGAGGAGGAAACAAGGGGUGCGCAGGUGCCAGGAGAAAGGUCGCCGCAGGGGCAAAUGACCCUGGGGGAGGGCGGGGCAGGAGCCCAGGAGGCCAUCUGUCCAGCAGGUUGGUCCCUGGGGGAGGCGUCAGGGGCAGGGCAGGGGCCUGGGAGGAGAGAGGCGGCCCGGGCGGUGUGGUGGGGGCCGCAGGGGCUGUGGGGUCAGGAGAAUUGAGGGUCCUCGGGGUGCUGCUGAGCCCCCAAGGCCUGGGUUGCACUGGGGCUGUCCUGCGGCGCCUGCUGACAGCCGCUUCCCAGCCCGGGGACAUCUCAGCCGCUGAGCCCUCUCCCCCCACCAGCGGGGCUCCCUGCCAUGCCAGACUCCAGGCCCCAAGCUCCUGGUAGGCCUGGAAGACAAAGGGGGGUGCCGUGGGGUCGCAGGUGGGGAAAGGUCAGGCGCCUUUGGCUACAGCGCCCCACCCACAGGCUAAGGACCGCCCGCCCGGCACACAGUAGGUGUUGCACACAGUAGGAGGAGCAUGCUGACCUGCACGGGGCCUCCUUCUCCCCCCUCGGGAAAGUUCUGGUUCCCCCGCCCCGCCCCCGUCUGGACAGUCCUUCCUGCAGCUUGUUUUAAUCACCUUUGGAGUUAAAAGUCAAUAUUUAAUUAACCAGGAAUCACAUUCAGCCUGCAUUGAGACUGGGCUCGGGGGGCUCCUCUGUGCGUGGCGGGACCGCCCCCUCAGCCCUCAGUCUGUCCCUGCCUCCUUUCCCCAUUGCCCCCCUUGGGGCGGAGCAGGGGGCUGCUCUGGGGUGGGUCCUGGGGGUGGCUUUCCCUGGGGGCCCCCGGCUGGGUCCCCUGCCUGUAGUUACAGGGAAGGGACCCCUCACUGUGACUGCACCUCCCCUCAAAGACCCUCCCAGGGUCCGAAUCAGAUGAGAGCGCUCCCUAAAGGCAGAGGCGGGGUGGGGGGUGUCCCUGGGCACUGUGGCCCCUCCCUGCAGACCCGGGCGUGGUUCAGCGGCUGUGGAGCAGCUCCCAGGGCCCUGGUGCAGGCUGCUUCUGCCUCGGCCAAGUUCACAGCCGUGAAGUCCCCGUGUUGGCAUCAGCACUGUGGCUGGGGCGUGAGUGGCUGACGCUGGACUGUGAAGAGGAGACCAGCUCUCACCGGCUCCAGAAGUGGAGGGUCAUCGCGACACCAAGAGCAGCGCAAAGCAUCCUUGAACCUUGGCAGGCGGCAGCCUGGCCUGAGGCUGGAGUGUUUCUGGCUGUGAGAAGAGCAGUGUUGAAGGAGAUGUGGCUCAGAGGCGUUGCCCUUGACCCACUCAGCAGGGCUGGCGCAGGCUCCGGCCUCACCGUUAAGACGCCCGAGUGCCACAUCGGAGGGCCUGGGGUCAGCGUCUGGCUCUGGCUCCUGAUUCCAGCUUCCUGCUGCUGCGAACCCUGGGAGGCAGCUGUGACUGACGCCCACAGGAGGGACCUGCACUAAGCUCCCAGCUCCUGGCACAGCCCCAGAAUCAUGGGUAUUUGGAGAGAGAACCAGCCAGUGGGACUUCUUUCUCUCUCCCUCUUUCUUUUUUUUCCCUCUGUCUCCCUCCCUCCCACUCAAAUAAAGUCAGCAGAGUAGAGACUAGAAAUGGCCA